GAUGAACGCUGGCGGUAUGCCUAACACAUGCAAGUCGGACGGCAGGACGUUAAUCGCGUGCUCUAACGGUUGGCGACUGGCGGACGGGUGCGGUAUAGAGCGGAAUCUCCUUUGUCGUGGGGGAUAACGAAGGCAAACUUACACUAAUACCGCAUGGAACCUACGUGUGGAAGCAGUGGAGCUUGGUACCUUGCGCGAUUGAAUGAGCCGAUGUCGAGUUAGCUAGUUGGCGGUGUAAAGGCCCACCAAUGCGACGAUCCGUAGCUGGUCUGAGCGGUUGAUCGGCGACAGUGGAACUGGGACACGGUCCAGACUCCUACGGGAAGACGCCGUGGGGAAUAAUGGACAAUGGGAGUAAGCAUGAUCCAGCAAUAGCGCGUGGGUGAAGAAGGCCUUCGGGUGGUAAAGCACUUUUGUUGGGAAAGAAAAGCAGCAGGCUAAUACCCAGAUGUUCUGACGGUACCCAAAGAAUAAGCACCGGCUAACUUCGUG
This 492-nucleotide ribosomal RNA is filed under the name uncultured bacterium. RNAcentral's name for it is "partial 16S ribosomal RNA". It matches the Rfam family "Bacterial small subunit ribosomal RNA", at positions 28 to 507 of the family's 1533-position model. The record is from RNAcentral.